AACGAACGCUGGCGGCAUGCCUAACACAUGCAAGUCGAACGAGACCUUCGGGUCUAGUGGCGCACGGGUGCGUAACACGUGGGAAUCUGCCCUUUGCUUCGGAAUAACAGUUAGAAAUGACUGCUAAUACCGGAUGAUGUCGAAAGACCAAAGAUUUAUCGGCAAAGGAUGAGCCCGCGUAGGAUUAGGUAGUUGGUGGGGUAAAGGCCUACCAAGCCGACGAUCCUUAGCUGGUCUGAGAGGAUGAUCAGCCACACUGGGACUGAGACACGGCCCAGACUCCUACGGGAGGCAGCAGUGGGGAAUAUUGGACAAUGGGCGAAAGCCUGAUCCAGCAAUGCCGCGUGAGUGAUGAAGGCCUUAGGGUUGCAAAGCUCUUUUACCAGGGAUGAUAAUGACAGUACCUGGAGAAUAAGCUCCGGCUAACUCCGUG
Molecule: ribosomal RNA, 433 nt
Filed under: uncultured bacterium
Lineage: Bacteria
Description: partial 16S ribosomal RNA
Rfam family: Bacterial small subunit ribosomal RNA
Source: RNAcentral